This 497-nucleotide ribosomal RNA is filed under the name uncultured bacterium. Its description in RNAcentral is "partial 16S ribosomal RNA". It matches the Rfam family "Bacterial small subunit ribosomal RNA", at positions 27 to 507 of the family's 1533-position model. The record is from RNAcentral.
GGGGGGGGGGGGGGGGGGGCGGGGGGCGUGCGGGGCGGGCGGACAGACGAGGAGCUUGCUCCUCUGACGGUAUCGGCGGACGUGUUGGUAACACGGUGAUACCCUCCCAAUGAGCCUGGAGUAACUUCGGGAACCCGGAGCUACUACCGUCUACGCUCUUUAAACGCCUGGUUGAAUGAUGACCGACCGGUUUUCUGUCCCGUCUCGCGGUCUCACCGCGGCAUUCGCUAGUUGGUAAGGUCGCGGCGUACCAAGGCAACGAUGCGUAGCCGAGGUGAGAGGGUGAUCGGCCACACUGGAACUGAGACACGGUCCAGACUCCUACGGGAGGAAGCAGUAGGGAAUCUUCCGCAAUGGGCGAAAGCCUGACGGAGCAACGCCGCGUGAGUGAUGAAGGUCUUCGGAUCGUAAAACUCUGUUAUUAGGGAAGAACAAAUGUGUAAGUAACUAUGCACGUCUUGACGGUACCUAAUCAGAAAGCCACGGCUAACUACGUG